UAGUUAAAUAGUUUACUUCUUUCUGGACU
This 29-nucleotide non-coding RNA is filed under the name Mus musculus (house mouse). Lineage: Eukaryota; Metazoa; Chordata; Mammalia; Rodentia; Muridae. The record is from RNAcentral.